ACCCACUCCUAGCACGGGGAGGUAGUGACGAAAAAUAACAAUACGGGACUCUUUCGAGGCCCCGUAAUUGGAAUGAGUACACUUUAAAUCCUUUAACGAGGAUCAAUUGGAGGGCAAGUCUGGUGCCAGCAGCCGCGGUAAUUCCAGCUCCAUAGCGUAUAUUAAAGUUGUUGCAGUUAAAAAGCUCGUAGUUGGAUUUCAGGUCCAGGCCCUCGGUCUCGCCUUUGUGCUGACUGGCUGGCCCAGACCUAUUUGCCGGCAUUCUCUUGGUGCUCUUUACCGAGUGUCCACGGAGCGGCUGGGACGUUUACUUUGAAGAAAUUAGAGUGUUCAAAGCGGACGACACACGUUCGAAUCAAUGUGCAUGGAAUAAUAGAAUACGACCUCGGUUUCAUUUUGCUGGUUUUCGAAGCUCGAGGUAAUGAUCAACAGGGACAGCCGGGGCCAUCCGUACUACCGUGUUAGAGGUGAAAUUCUUAGAUCAUCGUAAGACGAACUGCAGCGAAAGCGUUUGGCAAGUGUGCCUCCAUUAAUCAAGAGCGAAAGUCGGAGGUUCGAAGACGAUCAGAUACCGUCCUAGUUCCGACCAUAAACGAUGCCGACUGGAGGCCCGACGGUGUUGUUUCCGUGACCCUUAGGGAAUCCAGCCAGGGAAACCAAAGUCUUUGGGUUCCGGGGGAAGUAUGGUUGCAAAGCUGAAACUUAAAGGAAUUGACGGAAGGGCACCACCAGGAGUGGAGCCUGCGGCUUAAUUUGACUCAACACGGGAAAACUCACCCGGCCCGGACACCGUAAGGAUUGACAGAUUGAGAGCUCUUUCUUGAUUCGGUGGGUGGUGGUGCAUGGCCGUUCUUAGUUGGUGGAGUGAUUUGUCUGGUUAAUUCCGAUAACGAACGAGACUCUGGCCUGCUAAAUAGUCCGCCGGUUCCCCGUAUCGCCGGCGCCGACUUCUUAGAGGGACAAGUGGCUUUUAGCCACGCGAGAAUGAGCAAUAACAGGUCUGUGAUGCCCUUAGAUGUCCGGGGCCGCACGCGCGCUACACUGAAGGACUCAGCUGGCUUUUCCUGUCCGAGAGGAUUGGAUAACCCUUUGAACCUCCUUCGUGCUAGGGAUUGGGGCUUGUAAUUAUUCCCCAUGAACGAGGAAUUCCCAGUAAGCGCGGGUCAUAAGCUCGCGUUGAUUACGUCCCUGCCCUUUGUACACACCGCCCGUCGCUACUACCGAUUGGAUGGUUUAGUGAGAUCCUCGGACUGGCCCCGGCCGCUUGGGUGGUUCGCUGCCCCGACCGGAUUUGUGCCGGGAAGA
This 1305-nucleotide ribosomal RNA is filed under the name Parougia jessieae. RNAcentral describes it as "SSU rRNA". It matches the Rfam family "Eukaryotic small subunit ribosomal RNA", at positions 443 to 1755 of the family's 1831-position model. Lineage: Eukaryota; Metazoa; Annelida; Polychaeta; Eunicida; Dorvilleidae. The record is from RNAcentral.